Molecule: long non-coding RNA, 1847 nt
Filed under: Mus musculus (house mouse)
Lineage: Eukaryota; Metazoa; Chordata; Mammalia; Rodentia; Muridae
Description: long non-coding RNA chr9:73024292-73026139
Source: RNAcentral
UUAAAAGUGUGUGCCACUAUGCCUAUCCUUGAUUGGUCUGAAAUGUACUGAACCCAAGGUUUAUAUAUGUGUAUUAGUGUUUUGUGUGUUAUGUAUGUGUAACAUGUACAUGGUUGGUGCCCUCAGAGGUAAAAAAAAAAAAAAAAAAGGAUGUUAAUCAAUAUGAACUAAUCAGUACCCCCAGAGCUUCCUGGGACUAAACCACCAAUCAAAGAAAACACAUGGUGGGACUCGUGUCUCUAGCUGCAUAUGUAGCAGAGGAUGAUGGUCUAGUUGGUCAUUAAUGGGAGGAGAGGCCCUUAGUUCUGUGAAGGUUCUAUGACCCAGUAUAGGGGAAUGCCAGGGCCAGGAAGCAGGAGUGGGGGAGGGGGGAAGGGAGGGGAUUUUCGGAGAGGAAACUAGGAAAGGGGAUAACAUUUGAAAUGUGAAUAAAGAAAAUAUCUAAUUUUAAAAAAAGUGUUGAUUCGACGACAGCCAGGGCUGUUGUCUCAAAAAACCAGCCAAACAAACAAAAGAGGAUGUUGGAUCCCCUGGCCCUGAAGUUAUGGGCGGUUGGGAAUCUGUGUCGGUGCUGGGAACUAACCCUGGAUCCUCUGCAGGAGGAACAACUGCCCUUUUUUUUAAAAAAUUUUUUCCACUGUGACUCCAGCUCUCAAACUGGAUAUUUUUGAAGUACCUAGUAGGGUCUUUCAUGGUUUGUUUCCAGUUACCCUGUUCUUACAGUUUUCUGUUUUGUGUCCUCUCUGGACAUGAGGUUUGAUUGAUCAUCUAUGUUGUCGAUUUGGUCUUCCACUCUCUUCACAGUGAACUUCUGGUUUUGGUUUGUGCUGUGCUGGGGUCAGCAUGGAAGUAAGUCAGUCCUCUGUUGCUGAGUCAUUUUUCCAGCACAAAGGUCCUUAACUACUCAAAUGUAUCUUUUCAAAAGCUUUCCUGUUGGCCUGGGGAUGCUCUGGUCAUGGGGUAGUCUGUCUGCCUGGCAGAGGCACUGCUGUUUGACCUUUACAGUGAGAUCCAUGCUUUUCUUGGGGAUUUUCUAAUAACUUAUGGUGGGAUGUAGGUUCAACAUUUUUUUUUUCUUUUUCAAAGAUUUAUUAUUUAUUGUAUGUGACUACACUGUUGCUGUCUUCAGACACACCAGAAGAGGGCAUCAGAUCCCUUUAUAGAUGGUUGUGAGCCACCAUGUAGUCAUGUAGCUGCUACGAAUUGAACUCAGGACCUCUGGAAGAACAGUAAGUGCUUUUAACUGCUGAGCCAUCUUUCCUGCCCUCUCAACAUUUUUUUUUUAAAGAUAGUUCGGUAUGCUCUUUCAAGGCCUUUAUUCUAGAACUUGAGAUAGGAGUUCAAGGCCAGCCUGGCUAACAUAGCAAGUUCCAGGCCAGCUGAGGCUUUGGACACAUAGGGGCAGCGCCCCCCACCCCCCAAUGUAGAUGAGGCACCUGUAACAUCUCAGACCAAGCCAGUAGGAAGCACCCGCUUUUAGACUCCAACCCACUCCAAAACUAUAGAAGAUCCUAUCUAGAAAGAAUAAAGGUGUGUGAAAAAUCCAUCACCAUGCACCGCACUUGCUAGCCAACCCUCUGCCAGCUCAGCGUAGACAGGGCAGCAUCUGGGAACAACAGAGGUGGCAGGGCCAGCACCAAAGCAGCUGCAGCGGUUGCACUUCCCCCUCCCUGCUUGCACUCUUUCUCCUUCCCUUGAAUGCUCCCUCCCUGGAUAUCGUCUGGUCCACAGACCAGCAACUGGCGCCCAUGUGGACCAUGGCCAGCUGAAGGUACCCCAGCUGGCGACUACUCAGACCCACAUCGGAACUCCUGAUUAAACAAGACUGUGAAUAAACCUCUGACACU